RNAcentral lists this ribosomal RNA (483 nucleotides) under uncultured bacterium. RNAcentral's name for it is "partial 16S ribosomal RNA". It matches the Rfam family "Bacterial small subunit ribosomal RNA", at positions 28 to 523 of the family's 1533-position model. The record is from RNAcentral.
GACGAACGCUGGCGGCGUGCUUAACACAUGCAAGUCGAACGAUGAAGCCGGAGCUUGCUCCGGUGGAUUAGUGGCGAACGGGUGAGUAACACGUGAGCAAUCUGCCCUUGACUCUGGGAUAACUGCGGGAAACUGUAGCUAAUACCGGAUACGACACCUUGGGGCAUCCCAGGGUGUGGAAAGAAUUUCGGUCAAGGAUGAGCUCGCGGCCUAUCAGCUAGUUGGUGAGGUAAUGGCUCACCAAGGUGACGACGGGUAGCCGGCCGGAGAGGGGGACCGGGCACACUGGAACUGAGACAGGGUCCAGACUGCUACGGGAGGCAGCAGUGGGGAAUAUUGCACAAUGGGCGAAAGCCUGAUGCAGCAGCGCCGCGUGAGGGAUGAAGGCCUUCGGGUUGUAAACCUCUUUUAGCAGGGAAGAAGCGAAAGUGACGGUACCUGCAGAAAAAGCACCGGCUAACUACGUGCCAGCCGCCGCGGUAA